GCUCAUUGCAAGACACCUUUUGGCAGAGGCCUUUCCCAGCAUGUUUUUCUGGUAGCUACUCCUUUACAUUGAGGAGAAAGAAGUGGCUGUAGCCCUAAAAUAGCCAUUUUGCAUCUGGGUGCGGCAGACUGCAUUAGCUUUCCUUCUAGCUGGGGAGAGACUUGAGUGUGGCCGUGAGUCCUUCCUGAGGAGGUUGGGAAAUCGAAACUAAGUGAAGGGAAACUGAGGCAGCAGAGAGCUUGAAGCCAGACCAGAAUGUACCACUCCCCGUCAUUAAGGGAAGUUUGCUCCUUGACCUGAGAAUACAGCUCAGAAGCAAGUGUCUUCCCCUGAGGUCUCAUGGGUGGAUCUGCCUGAAGUACCUUCCUGUGAUACAGCGAUAAGACAUCUGUCUUAUUGAAUAACAUCAAUCAAACCUUAACCAUGCCAUGUCAGAAAGUGUGGGUUGUGACUGACUCAUCAACACAUCUUGUGCAGAGUUUGCUUCUCCAGUCCCAAGGAGUGCCUAGAUCUGGGAUCUACAUCAGGACCCCUUGGUGCAAGGUGCUGUACACACAAACAGUUUCAUUAACUUUUCCAGCUAUGGGUAGGAAAAUGCUGCACGUUUCUGCUGUGCUUUUCAUCUCAGCAUCUUAAAGUGCCUGGCAAGCAUCAAUUACUCUGAGCCUCUGAUCGAGGAACAUACUGGGACAGACCAGGCUUCCCUCUCUUCUUGUCACCAGAAGCAGCCAGAUGUUCCAACAGAAGGUGAAUCCUGCCCUCCCAUGAUUGUGAAAUUGGGGUAUUGCUUCAGGAUCCUAGCAGAGGGCUCCUCUGAGGACCUGGGUCACCAACUCGGCAUUUGGAUAGCUUGCAUAAAAGCCUUCAAAUGAAUGCCUCGUUUUCCUCACAGUGGUGUGACAGCAGGCAUAGCUGAGCUUCAAGAGUCUCCUGUGAACCGCGGGAUUUGAACCUGUGACUUUCAGCAUCCAGCGCACAGGCUUCUACCUUAUGAGCCAAAAAGAGUUUCCACUUAACAUUCAAAAUGUUGGGCAUUUAAAAUAGCCUUCGGAAAAAACCAUGAAAACCUAAGCAGCGUUUAUACAAAUAGUUGGAAAAAGUUGUCAAGCCAUUUUCCAACAACAACAACAACAACAUGUUCUGAGGGAAAGUGUUCUACCUGCUUCACAAGGUGAGUUUUACUGGUUGAAAUAGCUGCUUUGCACUAGGUAUGUAAAGGGACCACAGCUCCAGGGCAGCUAUACUAGUAGCUUUAACUGGAGCAAAUCCCCAGUGUAGACACGCCACUGUGUAGUGUACUUGAUACCCAAACUCCGGUGAACUUCCUGUUCUAAUGUCCCUUUCCUAAUGGUGCAUCUCGAAAAGUACCUCUCACAAAGUGCUGAGCACCUGCACCUGGUAAAAAUCAAGCCCUUGCUACUUGAGCACCUGUAAUUCCCACUGGAAAGCAUUCAGCGCCUUGCACGAUUGGAUUCCAGUAUACCUGAUUAGUGUUAAGAAUGAACUACAAUGUUGCACCUAGCUUGAAUGGGACUGCAUAAUUCAGUGUGUGUGUGUGUGUGUGUGUAUAUAUAUAUAUAUAUAAUCACUGUCAGCAACCUUUUUUGCAGCUUACAAUUUUACGACAGCACUUUUGGGCUACAUUUAAUGAAGACAGCAAUUCUGGAAAUGCUGCCACUGCAUCUGGUUUUAAUAUAUUAGCAGCAAGUCAUUGUUUAAAGGCUUUGUGGUUAAAAAGUUCUAUUGCUUUAUAUUUUGCAAAAAGAGAUGUCCCUCCUGUUAGCCUUUUACAGAACUUGAUUAGCUUCUUAACUACGAACCAGAGUCAGCCACCCACCAGAAGUAGUUUCUAACUGGGUAGAUUUUUGGAAUGUGCGUGUGGAAUCAGCCCCGCCGCUCACAUGACACAACACAAGGUUGCUUUUUUUGGCGUACAGAACCCAAGACAGACUACUGUUCAGAAAAGCUGCUCUAGCCUUCAGCUAGGAGUGCAAAAAAAAAAAAAUCAACUUGUAAGCCUCAGUUCAGAGCCUCUUUUACAGAAGAGCAUAGUAGGAAAUGCAGGCUUGCAGGCCGUGCAUUUCAAGUGCCUCGCAACAGGCACAGUGAUGCAUGUGUUUGGAUUUGAGGAGUUUCAUUUUUUUGGAUUGCCAGCUACCUUUAGGCAUACUAAACAUGGCUCUAUUUUCCAUGUCGUGCCUCAGAAGUGACCCUUCUGAAGUCUGCAGCUGUGAUAUUUAAGAGUUGUUCUGUCAGCCAUUUUGACAAUUCCCAGAUUAGCUUUUUAACAGUACUCCUGCCUUGGAUGCAAGCUAAGUACCAUGGUAACCCCUGAAGAUAGCUUGGGCAGUCAGAAUCCAGCUGAUCGGCCACCGUGAGGAAUGUGUACUUUUGAACAUGAUAGAGAUACUGUUUCCAGGGGGAAAAAUAAAGCUAAGCUUCCUCUGAGCACUGUUGCACAGGAUAUUGGACUAGAUGGACCAUUGGUCUGAUGUGAUGCAUCACAGAAGCUAGUGAUUGGGAACUGCCUAGUGAAACCUCUCUUCUUCCUAGUGUCAGGUUUUGCUCAGGAAACAUCCACAUACCUGUUUGAGAAGUGAUUUGGAAACUGGACAACUUCAGUGAUUGCUUCAGGAUUACGCUUUGCAAUGCUACACAUGUCCAGUUUGCUGUAACAUUCCUCCUGCACCUCCGAGAUCAUUCUUUGGAAAGUGGAGCACCUCCGAAUGGCAAGGAAAACCUUGGACGUAACUCCGUUUGCAAUGCAUUUCAGGCUCUCUUUCACAAAGGCUUUUCCCUGCAAAUUUAGAAGUAGCCUCAUCUUAAUGUGCAACUGCAUAAGUUGUUCACAAAAUGUUAACACAUAAAUAGCAGCAAUUAGCAAAAGCAGGGUAUCCUUGCUGUGUCAAAAGCUUACUCAGCAAUAAAGAAACCCAUUUACAGUCAA
Mauremys reevesii (Reeves's turtle) is the source of this 2947-nucleotide long non-coding RNA. RefSeq lists it as uncharacterized. The record is from RefSeq and is a predicted model, not a curated record. Lineage: Eukaryota; Metazoa; Chordata; Testudines; Geoemydidae. The transcript is spliced from 13 exons.